Molecule: long non-coding RNA, 5453 nt
Filed under: Androctonus crassicauda
Lineage: Eukaryota; Metazoa; Arthropoda; Arachnida; Scorpiones; Buthidae
Source: RNAcentral
AUAGACAGAAGUUUAAAUGCCAAGGUAAAAGAAUCGAUAUCAUUCAAAAUAAUUUGAUCAUCACUUCUAAACUUUUACCAGUGAAAAAAAGGGGGGAAAUGCCACGAUGAUCCAUCAAAAUAUUGAGAAGGGAGAGAGGUGAACCGUUCGAUUUUCUCCGGCUCUAUUUUUAGCAGGGGAUGUUUUUCUUAAAUUUUCGGUUACAAAUUUCGAUUUUUCUUUGUACUGGCAAUGACGUAAACGUGUAAAAACUGAUUGAAAAAAACGCUUAACAGAUAAAUUAAUUUCUUUGACAUGACGAAAUUAUUGAUGGUAAAGUUGUCCACCCAACAGUUACAUAGCGUGCUAAUUAAGUGAUAUAAAGCACAGAGCUUACCCUAGGACUUCCAAAAAUUUAUGACAGGAUAAUUUCCUCCAUGUCCAAAUACGGUUGAAGAUAUAGAGUAAACAGCAUUAAGAAUCCUUGGAAUAAAGUAUCUACAAACAUAUAUUUUCUAAUUAGGAAGGGUGGAACUGCUUAGGGAACAUUAAUUACGCUACCGAAGUACCAUUCUGUAAAUAUUUUACGCAUCUAGGGAUUUCUUGGAUUCCUCCUCCUGGAAUAUAUACUCAUUCUGGGAUUUACAGUCUAUAAACUAAUGGCUAAUACAUUUUUUUUUUUUUUUGAGUGGUUAAUUCGAAAUCGACCAUCUGUUGCUCCACUUUGGAACGAAAUUAUUUCGGGACUGGGCGUGAGUGACAAUCGAGAAACUUAAUUUUUAUGGCUGCCAGCGAAGAACACUUUAAAGGAUGCAAAGGAGGAUUGUUAAUACAUGGAAGCGUAUUUAGCAAUGGUCGGCGAUGAAAAGAAAGAGACUCCAUUGAAAAGGACAAAAGGAAUCCCUAAAUGAGACAUCCGGAUUGUUACACUCGCCUCGUCUUUUUAUUCUUUCCAAUUGGCCCGUUUGCCUUUUGUGUGUGGAAGAAUACCUGGCUGAGAGCGACGCAUCUGGGCCUAAAGAGUUUUAAUUUGCAAAAAUCAACUGAAAAACUGUUGCCCUGACCAAGAUCCGCGACGAAUCUUCCUUACGCCGCCGUAUCGAUGUAUGCAGCAUAUCAGUGGGUGCCGUCGGCGUCGCUUCCACUUUUAUCUGUUAGAAUGAGAGGCAGUGGAGAGAAAGGUAAAGGCUACAGACAUUUUUAUAGGGACAUAAGGCGGGAGAAAAAGAAAGGCGGUACGAAGCAGCGUCUUUCUUCACCUGGCCGACUGUAUCCAGUCGGAUCGAUAACGCUGGGUUACUUUGGCCCGCACUGUAUAGAGCAUUUUCGCCCGUUUUCUGUAAUACCCGAUCGCCUUCUCUUCCUCGACUGGCAAAUGGAAAAGGGAAGGAGGCGCUAAUUCCUCUCCGUAGCCGGUUAUCAAUAUUCGUUCCGCCUUUGGUCCCCUAAGGUGAGCCGGUCUCUUCCGGAGGUUUUCCUCUAAUCGACGACUAGAGGUGGCGUUCCGGGCGGCCGACUUUCCCGUCUAAAGCCGGAAUUGAUGUCGGUCCAUUAGCGGUGGUCCUCCCCCCGGCGGGAUGCGGAUUAGCGGACUUGUCGGUCUGAGAAAUUCUAAACAGACACGUCUAUCAAUCAUUGUUCUCCCCUUCGGAUCUGUUCUAACGGUUAAUCCGCUGGCUAAUAGGACGUCUUUCACGGCCCGUUACUGCCUAUCUCCUCUCCCGCUCGUUAUAAUCUCGUACGCCAUGCGAACCGUAUUCCGAGUCCUUCCGUGCCCGUCCGUCUGUGCUUUGGAUGAUGGAGGCGCACCUUUUCCAUUUUAAUCCGUUUACGGACCAGGUCCGACCUUCGUCACAUGCAUUUUUACGUUAUCCCCGCGAGGUAAAACGCGUAUUGUAAUUCGGGCCAAAGCGCCACGCCUGGGAUUAAACUAUUCGGUGACGUUGACGCGUCUCGGGUUACGCGGGACCGGUGUUUUAAUCCCCGCCCCCCAGUUUCCAUUAGACAGCGCGUGUCCCGCGCGGCCUAUCCUGUUACCCGCCUAACAAAUUGCUUUUUGAUGACGAGGCGACAGUUUUUAAAAAUUGUCGGUUUAAAACGUCGACAUCCGAUCGGUCGUCCGCUCUUAUCGCCGUCUCACAUUUCAAUCCGUCUCCUGUCGCGUAUGGCGGGCACGUCUCUACCCCGAUGCUAUUUGACGUAUGUUGUUCCGUCUUGUCUUUAAUAAGAACAUUGCAACCAGCGCGGUUAGUCGGUAAUUAUGGUUUCGAUAACCAAGUUUAGAGAAACCAUAAGUAUCGAAUAAACUAAGCAACUUACGCAAGACAAAUACACUAGUACUAGCGUGACGCAUUGAAUGGAGCACCUGUCAUAAACUAAAAGAAAAAAGGGAAUUUAAGCAUCUGGCAAACAGAUUUAAGCGACGUAAUCAUCAAGCGCAUCAAUCCAAUGAAUAUUCUGUAUGAUCGAAAUGAUUAUUUUUAUAUUGUGGAGAUUAUGAUCGAAAUGGUUCUUCGAACCGUUAAAAACAUUAAGGAGUUGGGAUUUGGCCAACGUUAACGGAUCGACCGACGGACGGGUCUUCGACCCAGUUAAAGACCGGGCGACCGAUUGAAGUGUACAUAUCUGCAGAACCGAUGGAGAUAGUGAGCGUAACGAUAAAUUAAUCUGGGGCUGUCGAGUGAUACCAAGAUCGGGGGCCGCCAUCGCUCUUUUAUCGUCCGUUCACGACAUCGGGAAAAGCUCUUUUUGGCUGUCGGGAAAGUAUAACGGUCGUGUAAACGAUCCGCCAUACUUAGCCGUGAUUGCUAAAGCUAUAAAAAGAGAUCGCCACGAUUCGACGCUUCUGAUAUUUCGAAUUGGAACGGAAGAACAGAUAGUCGGAGGAAAUCGACUAUAUUGUUUACUUCUAUUAUUACUACUGUGUAGAUACUAGCCGAUAAAUUUACACCCCCGUACCGACUGGUGCAUCGUUUAUUUGUAACUGUUCCAGUCUGUAUUUUGCUGCUUCCUGUUCGACUAUUCUCCGUUCAAGCUGACGUGUGGAUUCGGAAACGUCGCCAGUCGAUGGCGUCAUUAAAUUCCAUUUUGGACCUCUGGGGACGGUAGUGGUGUUAGGAAAUUCGGCCGAUCCGAUCGUUAUUUAGAUACAGCCCGGUCUAAUUUCGCUUCUGGUGUCUGUGUAAAGUUUUUUUUUUGUAGCCAGACUACACUAUGAAGUCGAAACAGGUAUACUUCACACUCGAAAGGACGUCUGUCGUCCGCCUACUUACGAACAACCUUUCGUUCAAUAACCACCCAUGAAUGCGGGUUCUUGGAACGCUAUAAACAUUGUAACACAGUCCUACCGAUUAGAGAAUGAAACAAUGAAGCUCUUUGUCGGACAGUUCCGUCUGUUUACGUCUGCCGGCUCCAUUGCCAAAAAGAGCAUUGUCUUCGACUAUUAUUAAGGUUCCCGACUAGCUCCUUAACAUCGAUCACUUUAAGGGUAAAGGAAAUUGAUUGAGUUUUGGCACGGGCGGCGCUGCGUCGGUUUCGCUUCACCGAAAGACCGAUUCGUCACGUGGAAUUUUCCACGUGACGUCGGGCGUGAUCCAGCAACAGUCGAAUCUGGCCGUAUGCCACGUCGCGCUUAUUAGAACGGUGGAUUUGUCCGAUCGGUGUCUGCGCGACGCCCUUUACUAGAAAUGUCCAUCUCUCUCCUCUUCUCCAUUCCGCCUUUCCACCGACAGCUGUCACCUGGAAGACGCGGCAUUCUUAAAUCCGACUGGGGCUCUGUAAAGCGUUAGAGUUUUGGAAGAUAUCGACCGUUCCGUAAGAGGUUUCCCCCAUUGUCAGCGGUUAAAUUUGGAGGAGGCGUAGGGAAAAACAUUUAUUUACUUUCACCGCCGGAAGUCGUUGUUAUAAAACGGGUCCCGGAUCGCGUUCCGUUAUCGUAAACAUUCGAUUAGCGUUAAUUUUAAAGGGGAUUAGGAAGGUUCGAUCUGUAAAGGGAAAAGGUGUAAGGCUGGAGAGAGAGUGCCGGUUACGCUUAACAACUUGUUGAAUUGGCUGGCGCGCGUCUUCCCAUAUCCCCCAUUUCCGAGUGAGUACGACCAUUCUAGUCUGUCGGUCUGAGCAUUCCAUUGAUUUAUUUCUCGGCCCACUGACGAGUUUUGAUACACAGUUCGGUGCAGGUGCUGUAGAGGGACUUCUAGACGUGCCAACUCGCAUUUCUAAGUGAGUUUUGACCUCUAUUUUUAGCCAAGUCUGCUAUUAUUACCGUCUUAAGUGGGUCGCGGUUUUACUGUUGUACCACCGCACGUUCGCCCCCUCCCCCUUUAUAAAAGAAAAACGCCGGAGUAAUAUUUUUAUUAACGCGGUAAUCGAAAGAAGUCCGUUCCGUUUCCACGUCCGCGAUCCCUGGCACACGAGGGUUGUUUCCCCUUCCGAGAGGCGUCGAUAAGAUAGCAUUCCGUUUAACUCGCCAUAAAAGUAUGGCAAUUAGUGGUGUCGACGCGGGAUUUCGAAAACUGUUCGAUGUUUUUAUACUCCAUAUAAGUGUUAACUACGAUAAAAGAGUUUAUUACGUAUAAACGUAUUGUUUCUUUACAUUAAACACUAUUCAGAUAUGAUCGAGUGUAAAUAAUUGCAUUUUUAAUGAUCGGACAGAAAUGUUCUCUAUACGUUCGCCAGAAUAAAUUUCUCUUAUAUUACUAAAUUGUCAAAAUUAUUUUGUAUUAAAACUUAACGCUCUGCUAGAUCCUGUUGUAUUGAUGGCAUAUGUAUACAUUAAACGGAAAUUAUAGACAUUAAACAAUAAAAAAAAAAAACGGGCUAAAGAAUGCAUAUCAAAGUCUACUCUUCAGUAAUCAAACAAUAUAUUAACCCUUGUUAUUGUAACAUCAAAAUAUUUGAUGUACGGUCUUCCUGUUUAGACAGGAAGUAUACAGAUGUGUGAAAAUAUUACUCUUUUAAGAUAUAAAAAGUAGCGAUAAUUACGAUAUUAAGCAUCAGUUUCGAGUUUAAUAUUUUCGGUGAUGAUGAUUACUGGAAAGUUCCGACACCAAGAGAAGUUAAACUAUAUUAUCAGAAAUUUUACAGCUACUAAUCGGCUUCAUUAGGCGCUACUACGGUAUUAACCGGGGGAAAAGGACGGUUGAAUUUAUUAAAAUCAAUAAUGUUUGCGAUGGAAUGUUUUCUUUUGCGCAUUUAACGAUCUUAACUCUGGUCGUAAUUCAAUUUAGAGCUCGGGGAUUCACCAUCUGAUCUCCUAAUUGUUAUUAAACUACUCAGGUGUUCUCCCUGACAGCUCAUCCGUCUUUAUUAAAGGCGGAAGCUAUAUGGAACAUUUUCGGAUGAAAUAAAAAAAUAUAUAUUUAUAUGUUUGUGUUAUUUUUUUAAUGGAAAUAUUAAUUACUUUCUUCUUCGACAGCUUUUAAUUGAAGGAUUCCUGAAUGACAGCGGGACUGAGUGACCUUGAUGUCUCUUGGACC